This 157-nucleotide ribosomal RNA is filed under the name uncultured bacterium. RNAcentral's name for it is "partial 16S ribosomal RNA". It matches the Rfam family "Bacterial small subunit ribosomal RNA", at positions 355 to 509 of the family's 1533-position model. The record is from RNAcentral.
UGAGGAAUAUUGGUCAAUGGGCGGGAGCCUGAACCAGCCAAGUCGCGUGAGGGAAGACGGUCCUAUGGAUUGUAAACCUCUUUUGUCGGGGAGCAAAGAGGCCACGUGUGGUAAAAGCGAGAGUACCCGAAGAAAAAGCAUCGGCUAACUCCGUGCC